GAGUGAACUGGGUGUCAUCUCAAAAAGUUGGAAUGAUACAGAGAAGAUUAGCAUGGCCCCUGAACAAGGAUGACAUGCAAAUUCAUGAAGCAUUACAUAUUUUU
Molecule: small nuclear RNA, 104 nt
Organism: Pteronotus mesoamericanus
Lineage: Eukaryota; Metazoa; Chordata; Mammalia; Chiroptera; Mormoopidae
Source: RefSeq, a predicted model, not a curated record